This 62-nucleotide transfer RNA is filed under the name Curviramea mexicana. Its description in RNAcentral is "partial tRNA-Phe". It matches the Rfam family "tRNA", at positions 1 to 55 of the family's 71-position model. From Rfam's summary of the family: Transfer RNA (tRNA) molecules are approximately 80 nucleotides in length. The record is from RNAcentral. Lineage: Eukaryota; Viridiplantae; Streptophyta; Bryopsida; Hypnales; Taxiphyllaceae.
AAAAGGCCGGGAUAGCUCAGUUGGUAGAGCANAGGACUGAAAAUCCUCGUGUCACCAGUUCA